RNAcentral lists this ribosomal RNA (417 nucleotides) under uncultured bacterium. RNAcentral's name for it is "partial 16S ribosomal RNA". It matches the Rfam family "Bacterial small subunit ribosomal RNA", at positions 355 to 762 of the family's 1533-position model. The record is from RNAcentral.
UGGGGAAUUUUGGACAAUGGGCGCAAGCCUGAUCCAGCCAUGCCGCGUGCGGGAAGAAGGCCUUCGGGUUGUAAACCGCUUUUGUCAGGGAAGAAAUCUUCUGAGUUAAUACCUCGGGAGGAUGACGGUACCUGAAGAAUAAGCACCGGCUAACUACGUGCCAGCAGCCGCGGUAAUACGUAGGGUGCAAGCGUUAAUCGGAAUUACUGGGCGUAAAGCGUGCGCAGGCGGUUUUGUAAGACAGAGGUGAAAUCCCCGGGCUCAACCUGGGAACUGCCUUUGUGACUGCAAGGCUUGAGUGCGGCAGAGGGGGAUGGAAUUCCGCGUGUAGCAGUGAAAUGCGUAGAUAUGCGGGGGAACACCGAUGGCGAAGGCGAAUCCCCUGGGCCUGCAACUGACGCUCAUGCACGAAAGCGU